RNAcentral lists this ribosomal RNA (745 nucleotides) under uncultured eukaryote. RNAcentral's name for it is "bacterial SSU rRNA". It matches the Rfam family "Eukaryotic small subunit ribosomal RNA", at positions 725 to 1426 of the family's 1831-position model. The record is from RNAcentral.
GCGUGGCCCUCUUGCGCGCGGAAUUCCUCGCGGGUGGCCCCUCCGGGGAUUCUCUUCCUCGGGGGGUGUUCUUUUCCCCCGCGUCUUUUACUGUGAAAAAAUUAGAGUGUUCAAAGCGGGCUUCUAGCACAUGAAUACUUUAGCAUGGAAUAAUAAUAUACCACUAUUGGUCUAUUUUGUUGGUUUGCGGCCGGUUGUAAUGAUAAAUAAGAACAGUUGGGGGUAUUCAUAUUCGGUUGUCAGAGGUGAAAUUCUUGGAUUUACAGAACACGAACUACUGCGAAAGCAUUUUCCAAGGAUGUUUUCUUUAAUCAAGAACGAAAGUUAGGGGAUCGAAGAGGAUUAUAUACCAUCGUAGUGUUAACCAUAAACUAUGCCAGACUAGGGAUUGUGCGGGAUUAACACAAAUUGACUCGCGCAGCGCACUAUGCGAAAGCACAAGUCUUUGGGUUCCGGGGGGAGUAUGAUAGCAAGGGUGAAACUUAAAGGAAUUGACGGAAAGGCACACCAAGGUGUGGAGCCCGCGGGUCAAUUUGACUCAACUCGGGUAACCCUAGUAGGGCAGGACAAAGUAAGGAUUGACAGAUUGAGAGCUCUUUUUUGAUUCUUUGGGUGGUGGUGCAUGGCCGUUCUUAGAGGUGGAGUGAUUUGUUGGGUUAAUUCCGUUAACGAACGAGACCUCGACGUAUUAAUUAGUACCCGCAAGUUCACGCUUCCUCCGCCGACUUACUUGAGGGACUGAUUG